CGGGGGCUCCGCAAGGAGCAACCGGCGAACGGGUGCGUAACACGUGAACAACCUGCCCUCGUGUGGGGGAUAGCCGGGCUAACGCCCGGGUAAUACCGCAUACGUUCCUCUGGGGGAGUCCCCGGGGGAGGAAAGCUCCGGCGCACGGGGAGGGGUUCGCGGCCUAUCAGCUAGUUGGCGGGGUAACGGCCCACCAAGGCGACGACGGGUAGCUGGUCUGAGAGGAUGGCCAGCCACAUUGGGACUGAGAGACGGCCCAGACUCCUACGGGAGGCAGCAGUGGGGAAUCUUGCGCAAUGGUCUAACGACUGACGCAGCGACGCCGCGUGUGGGAGGACGCCUUUCGGGGUGUAAACCACUGUUGCCCGGGACGAACUGGCGGAUUUGUCCGCCGUGACGGUACCGGGUGAGGAAGCACCGGCUAACUCCGUGCCAGCAGCCGCGGUAAUACGGAGGGUGCGAGCGUUG
Molecule: ribosomal RNA, 468 nt
Filed under: uncultured bacterium
Lineage: Bacteria
Description: bacterial SSU rRNA
Rfam family: Bacterial small subunit ribosomal RNA
Source: RNAcentral